UUAGGUGUAGCUCAGUGGUGCAGCACCUGCCUGGCCAGCACAAUGCCCUGAGUUCAAUUCCCGGUACCGAAA
This 72-nucleotide transfer RNA is filed under the name Fukomys damarensis (Damara mole-rat). It matches the Rfam family "tRNA". Rfam says of the family: Transfer RNA (tRNA) molecules are approximately 80 nucleotides in length. Their secondary structure includes four short double-helical elements and three loops (D, anti-codon, and T loops). Lineage: Eukaryota; Metazoa; Chordata; Mammalia; Rodentia; Bathyergidae. The record is from Rfam by way of RNAcentral.